UCGAGAAUCUUUCGCAAUGGGGGAAACCCUGACGACGCGACGCCGCGUGGAGGAUGAAGGCCUUCGGGUUGUAAACUCCUGUCAGCAGGGGAGAACAAGCUUUUGGUGAAUAAUCAAGAGCUUUGACAGUACCUGCAGAGGAAGCCACGGCUAACUCUGUGCCAGCAGCCGCGGUAAUACAGCGGUGGCAAGCGUUGUUCGGAUUUAUUGGGCGUAAAGGGUCCGUAGGCGGCCUGAAAAGGUGGAGGUGAAAUCCCACAGCUUAACUGUGGAACUGCAUUCAAAACUGUCAGGCGCGAGUGUGAUAGGGGUAAAGGGAAUUCCCGGUGUAAGGGUGAA
RNAcentral lists this ribosomal RNA (339 nucleotides) under uncultured prokaryote. RNAcentral describes it as "bacterial SSU rRNA". It matches the Rfam family "Bacterial small subunit ribosomal RNA", at positions 355 to 685 of the family's 1533-position model. The record is from RNAcentral.